RNAcentral lists this ribosomal RNA (347 nucleotides) under uncultured Oscillospiraceae bacterium. RNAcentral describes it as "bacterial SSU rRNA". It matches the Rfam family "Bacterial small subunit ribosomal RNA", at positions 1029 to 1382 of the family's 1533-position model. Lineage: Bacteria; Bacillati; Bacillota; Clostridia; Eubacteriales; Oscillospiraceae. The record is from RNAcentral.
CAGAGACAGGUGGUGCAUGGUUGUCGUCAGCUCGUGUCGUGAGAUGUUGGGUUAAGUCCCGCAACGAGCGCAACCCUUACGGUUAGUUGCUACGAAAGAGCACUCUAGCCGGACUGCCGUUGACAAAACGGAGGAAGGCGGGGACGACGUCAAAUCAUCAUGCCCCUUACGUUCCGGGCUACACACGUACUACAAUGGCGCAAACAAAGGGAAGCGAGAUCGCGAGAUGGAGCAAACCCCGUAAAAGGCGUCCCAGUUCGGACUGCAGGCUGCAACCCGCCUGCACGAAGUUGGAAUUGCUAGUAAUCGCGGAUCAGCAUGCCGCGGUGAAUACGUUCCCGGGCUUU